AUUGAACGCUGGCGGCAGGCUUAACACAUGCAAGUCGAGCGGUAGCACAGGGGAGCUUGCUCCCUGGGUGACGAGCGGCGGACGGGUGAGUAAUGUCUGGGAAACUGCCUGAUGGAGGGGGAUAACUACUGGAAACGGUAGCUAAUACCGCAUAACGUCGCAAGACCAAAGAGGGGGACCUUCGGGCCUCUUGCCAUCAGAUGUGCCCAGAUGGGAUUAGCUAGUAGGUGGGGUAAUGGCUCACCUAGGCGACGAUCCCUAGCUGGUCUGAGAGGAUGACCAGCCACACUGGAACUGAGACACGGUCCAGACUCCUACGGGAGGCAGCAGUGGGGAAGUAUUGCACAAUGGGCGCAAGCCUGAUGCAGCCAUGCCGCGUGUGUGAAGAAGG
RNAcentral lists this ribosomal RNA (391 nucleotides) under uncultured bacterium. RNAcentral describes it as "bacterial SSU rRNA". It matches the Rfam family "Bacterial small subunit ribosomal RNA", at positions 30 to 414 of the family's 1533-position model. The record is from RNAcentral.